UUAGUUAAUUAUUUUCUAAAUGAUAUUUAUUUUUAAUUCUUUUUAGAUGAGAAUAUUUUGGCUGAGGUGGAUAGUCUCAAAAGCCUUGAAUUUAGUCCCUUUUAUAUAGUAGGAUAUAUAUAUUAUUUUUUGUAUAUCAAAAACUUAUAUAUAGAGAACUUUUACAAUACAACUUAAUGAAAUGAUUAUGUGACAAAAAAAAAAUUUGGAAGAAUUCAAAACUAGGUGGAAGUCCAUACGGUUAAAUAUUUUUUAAUUGAUCAAGAGAUAUCUCAGAUUUAUAAAAAGAGUUCAUAUUAAUUUUAAAAGAAGGUACAAAUUACGGAUAUAUCUUUUUGGUAUGCAAAUGAACUGAAAACAUGGUUAGGGGGAAAUUUUACUUAUACACUUUUUAUGAUACCACUUUUCAACUUUACCAUCAAUCAAAAAGCAUUUUCAAAAAUACCACAUUCAUUAAUGUGUAAAAGACAAUAUUGCCCUUAACUUAUCUUCAACUCAUUUCUCUCUCUCUCUCGUGAAUCUCCGUCCGUCGUCUAUCGUCUCUGUUCAGAUCCGCUGUUUUCCGUUCAGAUCCGCCGUCUCCGUUCAGAUUCGCCGUCUAUUCGCCGUCUCUGUCCUCCAGAUCCACCGUCUCUGUCCUAAACCGACGUCUUCGUCCAGAUUCGUCGUCUUCGUCCAGAUCCACGAAGCAAUCGAGAUCGAGACUCAAAACUUCAAAUGUUGAAUCCUCAGCAAGAAUCACAACCUAUUGCAGAGUCUGUUUCUUUUAGCAGCGAUAAAAAGUAUGAUAUAACGCAAGUGAAGGCUCCAUCUCAGCUGCAGAAAACGAUGUGUUAAGUAACUCAAUCAACUAAAAGACAAUUUAGAAAGGCUUAUAAGACAGUUUAUAAAGUUUGUUAAAUAAUUUAUAAGGUUUAUAAAUUCUGCACAAUUUUGAAGUUAACUACGAGGUAUUGUGAUACUUCAACAGAGCUACCAGACAAGCCAAAACUGAUCAUCCAACGUUCAAAUAUGAAUUAUGUUGAAAAUGAUUUUUUGUAUUUUAGGUAAGGAGGAAUUUAGUGAAAUUGAGAAUUCACACCUUGCGGAAGUGUUGUAGAACUAGCUAGAAAGAAUAACAUUCAAUUUUCAGGAGAACCUUAUGCAAAUAAGAUUAUUGAUGAAUGGGGGUAGAUCUAUGGUUCACUUUCUCAUAUCAACCAAUGGGGUUAGAUCUAUGAUUAUUGAUGAAUGUAAAUAAUUUAUAAAAGUUUAUAAAAAACGUUAUGAAAGCAUACAUUCAAUUUAUAAGGGUAUUAUAUGAGUUCCAUAGGUUUAUAAAUCAACUAAAAGAGUCUAUAACCAUUUAGAAAGCCUUAUAAAACAAUUUAUAAUGGUUUGUAUAAUAAUUUAUAAGGGUUUAUAA
Molecule: long non-coding RNA, 1405 nt
Organism: Brassica rapa (field mustard)
Lineage: Eukaryota; Viridiplantae; Streptophyta; Magnoliopsida; Brassicales; Brassicaceae
Source: RefSeq, a predicted model, not a curated record